RNAcentral lists this ribosomal RNA (1004 nucleotides) under Chlamydotubeufia huaikangplaensis. Its description in RNAcentral is "eukaryotic LSU rRNA". The stretch from base 180 to 333 matches the Rfam family "5.8S ribosomal RNA". Lineage: Eukaryota; Fungi; Ascomycota; Dothideomycetes; Tubeufiales; Tubeufiaceae. The record is from RNAcentral.
ACGGGACGGGGUCUCUCAGGCCCUACUCCCACCCUUUGUGUACCUUACCGCUCUUCAGUUGCCUUGGCGGGUCCUCCCCACCAGGACCGGCCUCCGGUCCGCGGUGCGGUGCCCGCCAGGGGACUCACCCAAAACCCUUCUGAACUGGGUCGUCUGAGAAAGCAAAGCAAUGAAUUUAAAACUUUCAACAACGGAUCUCUUGGUUCUGGCAUCGAUGAAGAACGCAGCGAAAUGCGAUAAGUAAUGUGAAUUGCAGAAUUCAGUGAAUCAUCGAAUCUUUGAACGCACAUUGCGCCCUCUGGUAUUCCGGGGGGCAUGCCUGUUCGAGCGUCAUUUCAACCCUCAAGCUCCGGCUUGGUGUUGGGCGCCGCCCCGCUCGCGGGCGCGCCUGAAACCCGUCGGCGGCCGUGCUCGGCUCCUCAGCGUAGUCACAUCUCUCGCUCUGGACAGCCUCGCCGCGGCCCGCCCGAGAAACCCAUCUCACAUCACGGUUUGACCUCGGAUCAGGUAGGGAUACCCGCUGAACUUAAGCAUAUCAAUAAGCGGAGGAGAUCAUUACCGAGUACCGGGUCUCUCAGGCCCUACUCCCACCCUUUGUGUACCUUACCGCUCUUCGUUGCCUUGGCGGGUCUCCACAAGAACGGCUCGUUCGCGCUGCGGUGCGCAGGGGACUCACAAAACUUUCUGAAACUGGGGUUGUCUGAGAAAGCAAAGCAAUGAAUUUAAAACUUUCAACAACGGGAUCUCUUGGUUCUGGCAUCGAUGAAAGAACGCAGCGAAAUGCGAUAAGUAAUGUGAAAUUGCGAAUUCUUGAAAUCAUCGAAAUCUUUUGAAACGCACAUUGCGCCUCUGGUAUGUCGGGGGGGCAUGUCUGUUACAGGAUCAUUUCAACUCUAACUCUGCUUGUUGUUGGGCCGCCCAUCCGGGUGUCUGAAAUCUGGGUAGCGGUGAGAUCCUGAGAUAAUACAUAUCUCAUGUAAGAAACCUCGCGCCAUGCCGCUACG